ACAAAAUGUAAGUUAAGAAAUUUAUUUAUUUUAUUGUUACGAAGUAAUUAACUUUAUUUUUGUAGGGGAAAACAUAAGAACAGAACGCAAAAUACGAUCAUUAUUGAAUUUAUGGAAAAAAAUCCAGAUAUCUUAAGAGGAUAUACGAAACGCAAUAAACCGACAACAGAUUCGUUAUGGCAGGAAUUAACUGAAUCCCUUAAUGCUGCAGGUCCUCCACACAAAGAUGUGAACGGGUGGAAAAAGGUUAUAACUGAGUGGAAGACCGAAAUCAAAAGAAAAUUAGCUCACAACAAAAUUGAGAGUCGGGCAACAGGAGGUGGUCCAUUUUCUUAAUAUCAGCUCGCUCCACACGAAGAAACUAUUGUGCGUCUUUGUGGCAUUUCUCAAACUAUAGAAGGCAUACCAGGCGUUUCUCUUGGCACCCAACCCCGUCAAUGAGAAUUUAAAUAUAACAAUUGCAGGGGUGAAUGUAGAUUUGUCUUCCUCAUCGCCAGAGCA
Bactrocera neohumeralis is the source of this 501-nucleotide long non-coding RNA. RefSeq lists it as uncharacterized. The record is from RefSeq and is a predicted model, not a curated record. Lineage: Eukaryota; Metazoa; Arthropoda; Insecta; Diptera; Tephritidae. The transcript is spliced from 2 exons.